CAGUAGCCGCGGUAAUACGUAGGUGGCAAGCGUUGUCCGGAAUUAUUGGGCGUAAAGCGCGCGCAGGCGGCCUAUCCAGUCUGUCUUAAAAGUUCGGGGCUCAACCCCGUGAUGGGAUGGAAACUAGUAGGCUAGAGUAUCGGAGAGGAAAGCGGAAUUCCUGGUGUAGCGGUGAAAUGCGUAGAUAUUGGGAGGAACACCAGUGGCGAAGGCGGCUUUCUGGACUGUAGCUGACGCUGAGGCUCGAAAGCCAGGGGAGCGAACGGGAUUAGAUACCCCUGUAGUCCCUGUCUCUUAUACA
This 301-nucleotide ribosomal RNA is filed under the name uncultured bacterium. RNAcentral's name for it is "partial 16S ribosomal RNA". It matches the Rfam family "Bacterial small subunit ribosomal RNA", at positions 509 to 809 of the family's 1533-position model. The record is from RNAcentral.